This 346-nucleotide ribosomal RNA is filed under the name Acanthodoris pilosa. RNAcentral describes it as "SSU rRNA". It matches the Rfam family "Eukaryotic small subunit ribosomal RNA", at positions 564 to 903 of the family's 1831-position model. The record is from RNAcentral. Lineage: Eukaryota; Metazoa; Mollusca; Gastropoda; Nudibranchia; Onchidorididae.
GUGCCAGCAGCCGCGGUAAUUCCAGCUCCAAUAGCGUAUAUUAAAGUUGUUGCAGUUAAAAAGCUCGUAGUUGGAUCUCGGGCGCAGGCGGGCGGUCCGGCUCGCGCCGGCUCGCCGCCCGUUCACCUGCCCCACCCCUGCCGGCUCCCUCCCGGUGGUGCUCUUCGCUGAGCGUCCCGGGUGGCCGGCGCGUUUACUUUGAAAAAAUUAGAGUGUUCAAGGCGGGCCCGCCGAGCCCGAAUAACUGCGCAUGGAAUAAUGGAAUAGGACCUCGGUUCUAUUUUGCUGGUUUUCGGAAUCCGAGGUAAUGAUUGACGGGGACAAACGGGGGCAUUCGUAUUGCGGC